This 484-nucleotide ribosomal RNA is filed under the name uncultured bacterium. RNAcentral's name for it is "partial 16S ribosomal RNA". It matches the Rfam family "Bacterial small subunit ribosomal RNA", at positions 29 to 507 of the family's 1533-position model. The record is from RNAcentral.
AUUGAACGCUGGCGGCAUGCUUUACACAUGCAAGUCGAACGGCAGCGCGGGCUUCGGCCUGGCGGCGAGUGGCGAACGGGUGAGUAAUACAUCGGAACGUGCCCAGUAGUGGGGGAUAGCUCGGCGAAAGCCGGAUUAAUACCGCAUACGACCUGAGGGUGAAAGCGGGGGAUCUUCGGACCUCCCGCUUUUGGAGCGGCCGAUGGCAGAUUAGCUAGUUGGUGGGGUAAAGGCCUACCAAGGCGACGAUCUGUAGCUGGUCUGAGAGGACGACCAGCCACACUGGGACUGAGACACGGCCCAGACUCCUACGGGAGGCAGCAGUGGGGAAUUUUGGACAAUGGGCGAAAGCCUGAUCCAGCAAUGCCGCGUGUGUGAUGAAGGCCUUCGGGUUGUAAAGCACUUUUGGCGGGAACGAAAAGGACUGUGCCAAUACCACGGUUCGAUGACGGUACCCGCAGAAUAAGCACCGGCUAACUACGUG